Long non-coding RNA from Ornithorhynchus anatinus (platypus), 823 nucleotides. RefSeq lists it as uncharacterized. The transcript is spliced from 2 exons. The record is from RefSeq and is a predicted model, not a curated record. Lineage: Eukaryota; Metazoa; Chordata; Mammalia; Monotremata; Ornithorhynchidae.
UUCCACCUGAGCUCUUGGUAAUUUGCUUGCUGUAAUACAGCUGGCUCCAAACCUCUCUCCACUGGCUGGUAACCAAGAGCUGCUGGCUGAGAUCUCCUCAGGUCAUUCUAGGAACAGGAAAGAGGAAGGACAAAUGGAGAAGUGGAAAAGUGCUAUGGAGCAAGAUCUCAGUCCAGAGAAAUAAGUGAACUCCUUUAUGACCCACCAGAGACCCUCAGCUGAUUCGUGGUUCCGAACUUUGCUUUUCUUCUUCAAGCAACUUACUCAAACCUGUUCAGAAGGGAUCUCCCUGCUCUCUACAGCAACCGGAAAAAGCAAAGAAGAUUUUACACAUUACAACGAAAGACUUUCACCACUUCUCAAGCUUGAACAUGCAGAAAACACAGAAGAGACUGAAGCCAGAGGGAUGACUUGAUCCAAAGGGCUAUGAGCUUCAUGGAGUUUGCCUGGCUGUGGAGUAAGGUUUGGAUCGAUUGAACAAUGGGAGAAUCAGUCUGUCUAUCCACUGGACUGAGGUGUCUAAAGUACAUGAAGCUUAGGGUGGGGACAAAGGUGCUUUCUUGACACUAUAUAUCCAACUUUGGAAUAUAGCAUUGAGAUUAAUCCUUGGCACUCAAAAAUGAGAUUAAUCCUUAGCACUCAAAAAAUGGAGGCAAAAUUCAACUAGAAGUGCAUGCGUGGCUGAAAUGAUGACUGUGGGGCCUACAGUGCAAAUACACUUGUCUACACACAAAAACUCUGUUGUGUUAUUUGCAGCCCCUGCCCUUUUUUUUCCCUUUUGUCUCCUUGUUUCUCAAUCUUUAUAAAGUUUUUGCUCAAAAAA